This 440-nucleotide ribosomal RNA is filed under the name uncultured bacterium. RNAcentral describes it as "partial 16S ribosomal RNA". It matches the Rfam family "Bacterial small subunit ribosomal RNA", at positions 338 to 795 of the family's 1533-position model. The record is from RNAcentral.
CCUACGGGUGGCUGCAGUAGGGAAUAUUGCUCAAUGGGGUAAACCCAGAAGCAACAACGCCGCGAGGAGGCUGAAGGUUUUUGGAUUAUAAACUCCUUUUGUUAGAGAAGAUAAUGACGGUAUCUCACGAAUAAGCACCGGCUAACUCCGUGCCAGCAGCCGCGGUAAUACGGCGGGUGCAAGCGUUACUCGGAAUCACUGGGCGUAAAGAGCGCGUAGGCGGGAUAGCAAGUCAGAUGUGAAAUCCUAUGGCUUAACCAUAGAACUGCAUUUGACACUGUUAUUCUAGAGUAUGGGAGAGGUAGGUGGAAUUCUUGGUGUAGGGGUAAAAUCCGUAGAGAUCAAGAGGAAUACUCAUUGCGAAGGCGACCUGCUAGAACAUAACUGACGCUGAGGCGCGAAAGCGUGGGGAGCAAACAGGAUUAGAUACCCUAGUAGUC